CCUACGGGAGGCAGCAGUGGGGAAUAUUGGACAAUGGGGGGAACCCUGAUCCAGCGACGCCGCGUGAGUGAAGAAGUAUUUCGGUAUGUAAAGCUCUAUCAGCAGGGAAGAAAAUGACGGUACCUGACUAAGAAGCACCGGCUAACUACGUGCCAGCAGCCGCGGUAAUACGUAGGGGGCAAGCGUUAUCCGGAUUUACUGGGUGGAAAGGGAGCGUAGACGGCGAUGCAAGUCUGAAUGGAAAGGCGGGGGCCCAACCCCUGGACUGCUUUGGAAACUGUAUGGCUGGAGUGCAGGAGAGGUAAGUGGAAUUCCUAGGGUAGCGGUGAAAUGCGUAGAUAUUAGGAGGAACACCAGUGGCGAAGGCGGCUUACUGGACUGUAACUGACGUUGAGGCUCGAAAGCGUGGGGAGCAAACAGGAUUAGAUACCCCAGUAGUC
RNAcentral lists this ribosomal RNA (440 nucleotides) under uncultured bacterium. RNAcentral's name for it is "partial 16S ribosomal RNA". It matches the Rfam family "Bacterial small subunit ribosomal RNA", at positions 338 to 795 of the family's 1533-position model. The record is from RNAcentral.